AUUGAACGCUGGCGGCAUGCCUUACACAUGCAAGUCGAACGGCAGCACGGGGCAACCUGGUGGCGAGUGGCGAACGGGUGAGUAAUGCAUCGGAACGUGCCAUUGAGUGGGGGAUAACGUAGCGAAAGUUGCGCUAAUACCGCGUACGAUCUACGGAUGAAAGCGGGGGAUCGCAAGACCUCGCGCGAUUGGAGCGGCCGAUGGCAGAUUAGGUAGUUGGUGGGGUAAAGGCUCACCAAGCCGACGAUCUGUAGCUGGUCUGAGAGGACGACCAGCCACACUGGGACUGAGACACGGCCCAGACUCCUACGGGAGGCAGCAGUGGGGAAUUUUGGACAAUGGGCGCAAGCCUGAUCCAGCCAUUCCGCGUGCAGGAUGAAGGCCUUCGGGUUGUAAACUGCUUUUGUACGGAACGAAACGGCCCUUCUAAUACAGGGGCUAAUGACGGUACCGUAAGAAUAAGACACCGGCUAACUACGUG
Molecule: ribosomal RNA, 481 nt
Filed under: uncultured bacterium
Lineage: Bacteria
Description: bacterial SSU rRNA
Rfam family: Bacterial small subunit ribosomal RNA
Source: RNAcentral